CCGACUGCUGUCAGACCAGACCCCUCCACGCCAGCCUAGGAGGGAUGGCGUUUAAUGGCCUUCUCCCCAGACCUCAAUGACUCUCUACUUUGUUCUGAGUUAGAAAAAGAGACUUUUAGGGAGAGCCAAUUCCCUCCAGGCCCCAGAGGACUUUUCCGUGUGCAUUGUGAUGGGAACCCAUUCAUUUAUCAUGGCCUGAAGCUGCCAACAUACCCGACCCAGAGCUUUCAAGCACCCAUGGGAAGAUCACGUGCAGGACAGUGAGCAAGGGACUUAGGGACCAAUUGAAUGGAAACUGCUUCAGGCUGUGGAAGUCAUGAGCUUCUCUUCAGGGGCAGAGGAAGCAACACCCAUUUGUAACACUACAUUCUGGUGAAAUACCAUUAAUUGUACACUCUUUGACAUGCCAGAAUGCAGGCACCAAGCCCACAGAUGCCGUAUCUGCUCAUUCUGCCUAGAACGUCACACGUGUGUCUUGCUAGGGUAAGGAAACUAACUUAGAGCAUCGCCUUGUCACAGGAUGGGAACAGGGAGCCCUCAGCGGAGUGGUGAGCAAAGAAGUGAAUAAUGACCCUUAAAACCUUCAGAUCAUAUUAUUACCAGAGCUGCCCACAGCUCCAGGAUAUCUUCCAGACCCAAAAUAUCAUUAGAAGAGAUAAAUCAGCAAUUACUUGCUCCUGACAGAGAAGAAAAACAGAGAGACAA
Molecule: long non-coding RNA, 705 nt
Organism: Suricata suricatta (meerkat)
Lineage: Eukaryota; Metazoa; Chordata; Mammalia; Carnivora; Herpestidae
Exons: 3
Source: RefSeq, a predicted model, not a curated record